This 257-nucleotide small nuclear RNA is filed under the name Myotis davidii. Its description in RNAcentral is "7SK RNA". It matches the Rfam family "7SK RNA". From Rfam's summary of the family: 7SK was discovered as an abundant small nuclear RNA in the mid-70s but a possible function has only recently been suggested. Two independent studies have found that 7SK RNA binds the CDK9/cyclin T complex (known as elongation factor P-TEFb). P-TEFb activates transcription by phosphorylating the C-terminal domain of RNA polymerase II. The record is from Rfam by way of RNAcentral. Lineage: Eukaryota; Metazoa; Chordata; Mammalia; Chiroptera; Vespertilionidae.
GGAUGUGAGGGCGAUCUGGCUGCGACAUCUGUCACCCCAUUGAUCGCCAGGGUUGAUUCGGCUGAUCUGGCUGGCUAGGCGGGGGUCCCCCCCCCCCCCCCCCCAGAGGACCGGUCUUCGGUCAAGGGUAUACGAGUAGCUGCGCUCCCCUGCUAGAACCUCCAAACAAGCUCUCAAAUAUUAGUUGCUCUAUUCAAAUGCCACACAACUGAAAAUGAUAAGACUGAGAUAUAAUAAAGGACUUUGGCAUUUUCAUU